GGCGCGCAAAUUACCCAAUCCCGACACGGGGAGGUAGUGACAAUAAAUACUGAUACAGGGCUCUUUUGGGUCUUGUAAUUGGAAUGAGUACAAUUUAAAUCCCUUAACGAGGAACAAUUGGAGGGCAAGUCUGGUGCCAGCAGCCGCGGUAAUUCCAGCUCCAAUAGCGUAUAUUAAAGUUGUUGUGGUUAAAAAGCUCGUAGUUGAACCUUGGGCCUGGCUGGCCGGUCCGCCUCACCGCGUGUACUGGUCCGGCCGGGCCUUUCCCUCUGUGGAACCCCAUGCCCUUCACUGGGUGUGGCGGGGAAACAGGACUUUUACUUUGAAAAAAUUAGAGUGCUCCAGGCAGGCCUAUGCUCGAAUACAUUAGCAUGGAAUAAUAGAAUAGGACGUGUGGUUCUAUUUUGUUGGUUUCUAGGACCGCCGUAAUGAUUAAUAGGGACAGUCGGGGGCAUCAGUAUUCAAUUGUCAGAGGUGAAAUUCUUGGAUUUAUUGAAGACUAACUACUGCGAAAGCAUUUGCCAAGGAUGUUUUCAUUAAUCAGGAACGAAAGUUAGGGGAUCGAAGACGAUCAGAUACCGUCGUAGUCUUAACCAUAAACUAUGCCGACUAGGGAUCGGACGAUGUUAUUUUUUGACUCGUUCGGCACCUUACGAGAAAUCAAAGUGCUUGGGCUC
This 677-nucleotide ribosomal RNA is filed under the name uncultured eukaryote. RNAcentral describes it as "SSU rRNA". It matches the Rfam family "Eukaryotic small subunit ribosomal RNA", at positions 431 to 1114 of the family's 1831-position model. The record is from RNAcentral.